Long non-coding RNA from Sycon ciliatum, 738 nucleotides. RefSeq lists it as uncharacterized. The record is from RefSeq and is a predicted model, not a curated record. The transcript is spliced from 4 exons. NCBI's taxonomy places the organism in Eukaryota, Metazoa, Porifera, Calcarea, Leucosolenida, Sycettidae.
GCCGUAGGUCUACUCGUGUAAACGGUUUGAAAACGAUUCGAGGCUAGCCCGUUUUCGUUCCGUUUCGUUUCGUUUCGUCUCCGUGUAAACGCAGCCUGAGGUAGCGACGGCAGUUCGGCAGUCUGUCCGGGUGACGCAACAGCUCAGUGAAGAGGAUUUACGCGUGCAGACGACUCGUGCUAGUGCGUAGGGAACCACAGUUGCUGGCAGUCGCGUCCUGCAACAGAACAUUUGUCGGAAUGCUAGUACCUGAGCAGCCGUCCAAUCGGAUGUCGAAGGACUAGCAUAGGCAUUGGUUAGUAAAGUGGACAUUUGGCUACAAGUAUUAGCAAGAGUCCCUAGCCACAAGCAUUGGUUAUUAAAGUGGACAAUUGGCUACAAGUAUUAGCAAGAGUCCCUAGCCAAAAGUAAGUAACUGGUCUCUCUUUUCUGAGGGUCAGCUGUUGAACGUGAUGUGUGACAAUGUUCUGUCUGUCUGCCUGUUGUCUGUCUGUCUGUCCGACUGAUUGACUGAAUGACUGACUGACUCUGUGUCUCCAUGUGUCUGUUCCUGUGUUUGUCUCUGUCUCUGUCCAUCUACGUCUCAAUCGCUGUCUGUCAGUCUGACUCUCUCCUCCUCUCCUACUGUCCUUCUGUAUGUCUGUCUCUGUCUCUUACUCCCUCUUUCUCCGUAUCCUGUUGUCUCUGUGUCUGUUUCUGUCUCUGUCACUAUCUUUCUCUCUGUCUCUCUGUGUGUCU